AAACUAACAAGGAUUCCCCUAGUAACGGCGAGUGAACCGGGAAGAGCUCAAAUUUGAAAUCUGGCGUCCUCAGGGCGUCCGAGUUGUAAUCUAUAGAGGCGUUUUCCGUGCCGGACCGUGUCCAAGUUCCUUGGAACAGGAUAUCAAAGAGGGUGACAAUCCCGUACUUGACACGACGACCGGUGCUCUGUGAUACGUCUUCUACGAGUCGAGUUGUUUGGGAAUGCAGCUCAAAAUGGGUGGUGAGUUCCAUCUAAAGCUAAAUAUUGGCGAGAGACCGAUAGCGAACAAGUACCGUGAGGGAAAGAUGAAAAGCACUUUGGAAAGAGAGUUAAACAGUACGUGAAAUUGUUGAAAGGGAAACGAUUGAAGUCAGUCGUGACCGAGAGGCUCAGCCGGUUCUGCCGGUGUAUUCCCCUCGGUCGGGUCAACAUCAGUUUUGUCCGGUGGAUAAGGGCGGUAGGAAGGUGGCACCCUCGGGUGUGUUAUAGCCUGCCGUCGCAUACAUCGGGUGAGACUGAGGAACGCAGCUCGCCUUUAUGGCCGGGG
RNAcentral lists this ribosomal RNA (549 nucleotides) under Papiliotrema laurentii. RNAcentral describes it as "eukaryotic LSU rRNA". It matches the Rfam family "Eukaryotic large subunit ribosomal RNA", at positions 62 to 623 of the family's 3401-position model. The record is from RNAcentral. Lineage: Eukaryota; Fungi; Basidiomycota; Tremellomycetes; Tremellales; Rhynchogastremaceae.